Molecule: ribosomal RNA, 520 nt
Filed under: uncultured Glomeromycotina
Lineage: Eukaryota; Fungi; Glomeromycota
Description: SSU rRNA
Rfam family: Eukaryotic small subunit ribosomal RNA
Source: RNAcentral
AGCAGCCGCGGUAAUUCCAGCUCCAAUAGCGUAUAUUAAAGUUGUUGCAGUUAAAAAGCUCGUAGUUGAAUUUCGGGAUCAAUACGUCGGUCGUGCUUUUGGGUACGUACUGGCGUUAUUGGUUUCUCUCUUCUGACGAACCAUGAUGUCAUUAAUUUGGUGUUAUGGGGAGUUAGGACUGUUACUUUGAAAAAAUUAGAGUGUUUAAAGCAGGCAUUAGCUUGAAUACAUUAGCAUGGAAUAAUGAAAUAGGACGUUUGAUCCUAUUUUGUUGGUUUCUAGGAUCGACGUAAUGAUUAAUAGGGAUAGUUGGGGGCAUUAGUAUUCAAUUGUCAGAGGUGAAGUUCUUGGAUUUAUUGAAGACCAACUACUGCGAAAGCAUUUGCCAAGGAUGUUUUCAUUAAUCAAGAACGAAAGUUAGGGGAUCGAAGACGAUCAGAUACCGUCGUAGUCUUAACCAUAAACUAUGCCGACUAGGGAUCGGAUGGUGUUAAUUUUUUAAUGACUCAUUCGGCGCCUU